CGAACUCUGGUAUUGAUUGGUGCUUGCAUCAUGAUUUACAUUUGAGUGAGUGGCGAACUGGUGAGUAACACGUGGGAAACCUGCCCAGAAGCGGGGGAUAACACCUGGAAACAGAUGCUAAUACCGCAUAACAACUUGGACCGCAUGGUCCGAGUUUGAAAGAUGGCUUCGGCUAUCACUUUUGGAUGGUCCCGCGGCGUAUUAGCUAGAUGGUGGGGUAACGGCUCACCAUGGCAAUGAUACGUAGCCGACCUGAGAGGGUAAUCGGCCACAUUGGGACUGAGACACGGCCCAAACUCCUACGGGAGGCAGCAGUAGGGAAUCUUCCACAAUGGACGAAAGUCUGAUGGAGCAACGCCGCGUGAGUGAAGAAGGGUUUCGGCUCGUAAAACUCUGUUGUUAAAGAAGAACAUAUCUGAGAGUAACUGUUCAGGUAUUGACGGUAUUUAACCAGAAAGCCACGGCUAACUACGUGCCAGCAGCCGCGGUAAUACGUAGGUGGCAAGCGUUGUCCGGAUUUAUUGGGCGUAAAGCGAGCGCAGGCGGUUUUUUAAGUCUGAUGUGAAAGCCUUCGGCUCAACCGAAGAAGUGCAUCGGAAACUGGGAAACUUGAGUGCAGAAGAGGACAGUGGAACUCCAUGUGUAGCGGUGAAAUGCGUAGAUAUAUGGAAGAACACCAGUGGCGAAGGCGGCUGUCUGGUCUGUAACUGACGCUGAGGCUCGAAAGUAUGGGUAGCAAACAGGAUUAGAUACCCUGGUAGUCCAUACCGUAAACGAUGAAUGCUAAGUGUUGGAGGGUUUCCGCCCUUCAGUGCUGCAGCUAACGCAUUAAGCAUUCCGCCUGGGGAGUACGGCCGCAAGGCUGAAACUCAAAGGAAUUGACGGGGGCCCGCACAAGCGGUGGAGCAUGUGGUUUAAUUCGAAGCUACGCGAAGAACCUUACCAGGUCUUGACAUACUAUGCAAAUCUAAGAGAUUAGACGUUCCCUUCGGGGACAUGGAUACAGGUGGUGCAUGGUUGUCGUCAGCUCGUGUCGUGAGAUGUUGGGUUAAGUCCCGCAACGAGCGCAACCCUUAUUAUCAGUUGCCAGCAUUAAGUUGGGCACUCUGGUGAGACUGCCGGUGACAAACCGGAGGAAGGUGGGGAUGACGUCAAAUCAU
This 1160-nucleotide ribosomal RNA is filed under the name Lactiplantibacillus plantarum. RNAcentral describes it as "bacterial SSU rRNA". It matches the Rfam family "Bacterial small subunit ribosomal RNA", at positions 63 to 1193 of the family's 1533-position model. Lineage: Bacteria; Bacillati; Bacillota; Bacilli; Lactobacillales; Lactobacillaceae. The record is from RNAcentral.